GACGGUUGCUGCUUUGGGUGUCUGUGGAGCGUCUCCUCUGCGCAGGGGGCUGUGCCUUCCACUCUGGGGAGGGAGGCAGAGGGAGCAGAAUCCCUGCCUGAAACAGGAGACACCAGGAAUCGUGUCACAGUGAAAGAGUUGGAGGUGACACACCUCCAGGACCGGGGAGGUCACGAGAUAGAGAAAGGGAAGCCCGGGUGGCCCAGGGAGGUCUUUGAGAAGGUGGCGCCCAAACUGGGUCUGGAUGAUGUUGGAAUCCAGAGAAAUGGGCCUGUAACGUGGCAUGUCUCUCCCAGGUGCCUACUACUGAUGAAGGGGAGCAGGAGGAAGGCCGAAGGAAGAUUUCUGAAAAAGCAACCAGCCUCCCAGGUCAGGACUGGGGACGAGUGUGUGUGUGUGUGUGUGUGUGUGCGCGUGCUGGGGAUUACCACUGAGUCACAUCUCCAGCCCUUUUUAUUUUGAGAUGAGGUCUUGGUAACUUGCUGAGGCUGGCCCCAAACUUGCAGUCCUCCUACCUCAGCCUCCCAAGUCACUGGGGUUACAGGCCUGUGCUACUGCUCCCGGCAGGAUUGGCUAUCUUUGUCUUCCUCUGAUCUGGUGGACACGAGACUCUUUGCAUAAAAUCUUUUCAUAUUUGGAUACUUGGCAGAGGAUAAAAUGGCAGAAAUAUUUAAUUACCUGAUUCGUUCAAGUGUGACGUGGUUAGCUAAAACUUAGUGAGGGGACCAUGCGCAGAAGGGAGGAAGCAGUGAACUAUUUCACAGUUGGCCCAGGGUACAAAUGGGUGUGCCACCCACCACGUUCCUGGAGUCAGAAAUGGUAUGCAGACGAGGGGGGGGGUCUUUGUCCUGAGAACCUUGCCUUUCAGCCCCCGCUCCCCACACCUUCAGGUCUGGGAAACAAGAAAGGCCGCGGGUCCUGUGCGUUGGACUAAAUGUGUGGGACUCCGGGGUCCUGGCCCCAGGGUCAGAGGCUGGGCAGUUCCUUGGAUGACUCCCGGGCUGUCCGAGGAGGUCCUGGGUCCGGUGUCCCUGCCUGGCUGGCUCCUUCCAGGUGGACGGCCUAGUGUGCGCAGCGCACCUGGAGGAGCUACUGGACCCGGGGCUGAGCUCUGCGCAGCUGGGACGGCACAGACUUCAGCUCCUCCAUCUUCCCUCUCCCUCUGCUUUCCCCACCUCAGGGCCUUUGCACCUGCUUGUUCCUCUGUCUGGAUGCUCUUCUUCCACCCUCCACUUGACCAGCUCCUUCCUACCACCCAGGUUUCUGCUCAAAGGCUCCCUUCUCAGAGAGCCCGUUCCUGACCCUCAUGUAUGACAGAGGUCCCCUCUCCCACGGAGACUCUCUUCCCUUCCUGGGUUUGCUUUUCUUUUUUCUUUUUGGUAGUGGGGAUUGAACCCAGAGGCACUAACCACAAGGCAACCUCCCCAUCUCCAGCCCCUUUUUCAUAGUUUAUUUAGAGACAGGGUCUCACUGAGUUGCUUAGGGCCUCGCUGAGUUGCUGAGGCUGGCUUUGAACUCACGAUCCUCCUGCCUCGGCCUCGAGAGCCGCUGGGGUUCCAGGCGUGGGCCACUGUGCCAGGCCUGUGGUUCGCUUGUCAUCAUCGCCGUGGCCACCGCUAACGUCACCUUGCACGUGACCUGUUAGUCUGCCUCCCUCGACCACACUGUAGUGUCCAGGGGGAGGGUCUUCUCCGUCAUGCCUUUCUGUGUCCUGGAGACUUAGGGCCAAGCCUGGCCACGGGACCCUCCAGACUUUACUGAAUGAGGGAGGGGGAUGGUGACAGAUGACGAAGUAGUGAUCAUGAGCAGCAGGCGUCUGCUCUUCCUGUCAAGGUGUGGGGUGCGCCCCGAGGGACCUGUCUUUGAGGUCCGUGAACGCUCACCGGUCAGGCUGCUGGGCAGUGCCUGGCCCUGGGUGGCAUCAACACCAACAGUGGGCAGCAUUCGUCGGAGGCCUAGGUCCUGGGUCCACCCGGCUGGGGCUCCUGCCUUCCCAGUGGGACAGUGGUGGCUUUGCUUAGGUGUCCCUCUGGCCGGUCCGGGGUCUCUGGCACUCGUAGGAAGGGUCUUUCUGGGGCAGUUAUUAUGAAGCUGAUUGUCCUUUCCUUCAUUCAGUGACACGUUUUGAGAGCUGCUUUGGAGCAGGCCACGGGAGCCGCUGGGAGCCGGGCUGAGGCACCCGGCCUCCUCUGGCCAGAGAGCCAGCUUGGAGGGACUGGGGUACCCGGGGGGACACUCAGCUUGAGUGGGGGUCCCUUCUCAAAGGAAGUGACCUCAUCUAGUCUGAGACCUACUGGUCAGGUAGGGCCUGGGCCGCACAGGGCUGCAGCCCGGGGGGGGCGAGAAGGGGGCGACCUGUGCCCACUGGGCGGAGCGGGGCCACGUGGCCUCCUGUUCCUCCUGUGUCUCCUCCUUUUUUUGUGGCUCUGGGGCCUGAGCAGGGCCUGUCGUGCGAGGCAGCCUCUCCCCCUGAACUUCGCCCCAGCCCAACCCUUUUUCUUCUUCUCCAGGGCAAGAUUCUCUGCCCGUCCCGCUGCCCACGUUCCUGGUAGCUGGGGGAAGCCUGGCCUUCGGCUCGCUGCUGUGCGUCGGCAUCAUCCUCAGGUGAGACGGGCGGGGGUCUCUGUGACGUCCUGUGUGUCGUAUGUAGCUGCCCUUCACCCCGGAACCACCAAAUGUACAGGGGCUGGGGACGGGGCUUGGUGUAGAGCCCUGGCCUGGGGAGCACGGCGCCCUGGGUUCUAGCCCAGCAGCGUGUGCACACAGACAGACACACGUGCACACGCACACACUCACACACGCGCGCACACGCACAUACACACGCGUGCACACACGUGCACACACACACAGAGCCUGCAGUGAGAAGUGCUUUGGGGUCUUGGAGGCCUCCGGCUGGCGGGCGUGGUGGUGCACCCCUGUGAUCCCAGUGACUCAGGAGACCCGGGGAGGCAGGAGGAUUGCGAGUUCGAGGCUCGCCGUGGUGACUUAGAAAGAUCCUGAAUCCACAUAAAAAAAUCUAAGUGGCUUAGGGCCUUGCUCAGUUUCUGAGACUGGCUUUGAACUUGUGAUCUUCCUGCCUCAGCCUCCCAAGCUGCUGGGAUCGAAAUUAUUUUUUUAAAAAAAUUAAAAAGAGGCUGGGGAUACAGCUCAGAGGUCAGGUGCCCUGGGUUCAAUCCCAUUUCCACACACACACCAUCUGGGAGCAUUUGCUCAUCCAUUUAUUCACUCAGCAAAUGAAGGCACCUCCAGCACACAGAGCGCCCACUAGGAGGCUACCCUGAUUCAGCGCUGCAGGACAGAGGCCGAUAGGGUGGAGGCUGUCUAAUGCGGAGGGCAGACUGGGUAGGUGACCACAGGUGUGUGGGUGACAGCUGCCAACAGAGCCGCUGAGCUGGGCACGGAGGCCCACGCCUGUAAUCCCAGCAGCUUGGGAGGCUGAGGCAGGAGGAUCGUGAGUUCAAAGCCAGCCUCAGCAACUUAGCAAGGCCCUGAGAAACUCAGUGAGACUCUGUCUCCAAAUAAAAAAUAAAAAGGGCUGGGGAUGUGGCUCAGUGAUCAAAUGCCCCUGGGUUUAAUCCCCAGUACCACAAACAAACAAAACUUCUUUUGGAUACAGAACUGGUUAUUUUUGUUUGUUGGUUGGUUGGUUGGUUGGUAUAGGGGGAUUGAACUCAACCACUGAGCCACAUCCCCAGCCCUAUUUUAUUUAGUGACAAAUUCUCACUGAGUUGCUUAGGGCCUCGCCAUUGCUGAGGCUGGCUUUGAACUCACGAUCCUCCUGUCUCAGCCUCCAGAGCUGCUGGGAUUACAGGUAUGUGCCACUGUGCCCUGCUCCUACCUUUUAAAUUUAGCAUUCUAAUAUAAGCAUUUUUUUUCCAUGUAUUUACAAAUCCUUUGCAAACUCACUUUCAUUAGCUGCAGAUCCCUCUAUCCGGGAUUAAUACCCAAGUUCACUAAACCAGUCUCCUAUUAUUGGGCAGUUGGAUGUUGUUCUGCUUUUAUAAACAACACUGUGCUGGACAUCUUUGUGCCAUAAGCUUCUCCAUAGCUCUGUUAUUCCCAGAAGAGGAAUUCCUUAGUCAGAGGGUCUGAAUAUUUUGCAAUCCAGAGUAUAAAGAAUCUGUCCUCUAUCUUCUCACAGGGGAGGAGAAUUCCACUCAAGGACUCAGCAAAACUUCAAUAAGCACCCCGCUGGGCUCUUCCUGUGUGGGGCCCAAGUGGCGAAGCCCUAAGUCACAUUCUGAGGUUGUUUAUUCCAUUUGGUCAGUGGGCUCAGAGCCAAAGGCAGACUUGGAGCCAACUAUCAAUUAUCUAUCCUCACAAGGACAGGAAUAGCCUGCUGAUAUAAAAAGAAGCCAAGGAAAAUGCCCAAAUUUUGUUUUUGAUGUUGGUUUCCCUUCCUCCCCGUGGUGCCUCCUGGAGCCACUGAUAUGUGCUGGACUCAGGGAGGCCAUCUUUCUCCCACUCUGGGGACAAGUCAGCCACAAGGUGGUCAGGAGACGGGGGAGAAGAGGCCCGGCUGCCUGGGCGCGGGUGAAGGGCCCCUUCAGGAAGGAGACCGGCUGCACCUUUGAAGAUCAAUGUCACCAUCUCCUCUUUCUCUGAUUGUCAAGUGACUUCUCUCCGUUGCUGAGCCUGGCUUUGGGCCCAGUGUGGAGCCCCGUGAGCAAGGCUGUGAUCAGAGAGAUAGAUGUCUAUCUCCUUCCUGUUUAGCACCGACUUUCCUGUCGGAUGAGUCAACCUGUGCCCGUGUGCCCACAGCGUGAGGGUGGGCACUCUCGCUGGUUGGGUGGGACGGACCAGAGGCUCAGGGAGAGUUGGGGGGAAUGGGAAUGUCAGGGACAGGAGUGUCACCAAGGGCCACUGAAUGGUGGUUGCACGUGGUCUUCGGGCUGGCCUUGAUUUGAAGGAGGCCCAUUUUCCUUCCCUCUAAAAGAAGACGUUGCUGUUUUGUUUUUUAGUCCUGGGGAUUGAGCCCCGGGGGUGCCCUAUCACUGGGCCACAUCCCCAGCUCUUUUUACUUUUUGUUUUGAGACAGGGUCUUGUUAAGUGGCCCGGACUGGCCUAGAACCUGGGGUCCUUCUGCCUCGGCCUCUUGAUUCAUUAGGAUCACGGGCAUGAUCCACCAUGUCUUGAUGUUUCCCUUUUCAAAAAUAAAUGGACUGGGGACUGACGAUGGAUAGCCUGUGGGACAGGACAAAUUGAGGGAUUAGCAGGGACUUGCUGGUGCUCCACCAGGACAACCCUGCCUGCCUCAGUCCCCCUUUUGCCUAGCCGUGGAGACCUCCCUUCUUGGGAUGCUUGGGGAACUCAGCCGCUCUCCGGAGGCUGGCAGAAUCUCUGGGGUUUGAGACCAGCUGCUGAUGGGAUGAAUCAUCAUCACGCCUUGGAGCCGAGCCUGGGCGCUCCAGACCUCCAGGGCCACCAGCUGUUGGGUUCAUCGCAGGGGACCGUCACAUGGGUGUGAUGUGUCUUUGUGUGUUUGCGUGCAGGUUCAAGAAGACGUGGAAGCCACAGGCCCUGAAAGAGUGCAAGACGGGCGUGCACCCGCCGUAUUCCCUGGGGCAGUCCAAGCCCACCAUUGUGCUGGCUCCCCUCCUUUCCCCACCUGUGUCCCCCAGCAGCCUCGGCUCAGACAGCACCUCGAGCCACAGCCGACCAGAUGCCAGGGACUCGCGGAGCCCUUACGACAUCAGCAACAGAGACUACUUCUUCGCCAGAUAGCUGUCUGGGUGGCCCCUGGCAGCGGGGUGACAGAGGUGCUGAAUUGUGUGGGUGACGCAGCCCACGCUGGCUCUGGAAAGACGCUUCUCACUGCCAUUCCAGCUCAUCUCAGGGGCGUGGGGCAUUUGGCUUCACGGUGACGGAAGAGCCUGCAGAAGGUUCUAGACUGGUGGAAAUCGGCUUGCUACACCUGUUCUGAAGGAAGAGCUGGUUGAGCUUUCAAACCGCUCUUCCCAAGCGCUCUGCUUCGGGGGGUCUCAGCGACUCAGGACACUGUGAAGAGAGCCGCGCCAAGACUCGAUGGGACCGAGGGUGUGGAGGAGCUGCCGGGCACCCCCACACCCGGACUCAUCUCUGCCAGCCGAACCCUCAGGCAGGGGCAGGGGCUUCCAGGAGGCCUGCCGUGGUGGCUGGCUCCUGCCCCUGCCCAGUCGCACCUUGUCCCUCCGACUCUGGAAACCCAAGUGCCUUUGCCAUUCUGUUUCCUGGACUGAGGAUGGCUUUGUGCAAACCACUGAGGCUGGGGAGGGAGCUCUUUCCUGCCUUCCCCCCACACUUGAAAAGCAGCUGGUGUGUGAGUGUGAGUGUGAGUGUGUGUGCAGGGGGUGGUGAAUAAGUCUCAGGGCCGAUGGUUUAAGUGGAAUCAUAAUCAGCUCCUCACGAGUGUUGUGCUCAAUGUGAAUGAUAACCCUAGGCUUUUGCUGGCUACAGAAGCAGCUGCGCCAACUUUGUCCCCCUGUUGGGGUCUCAGGGCUUGAGGACAGAAGCAGAGAGGAAGGAGGGGAGUAGGGACAGGGUCUUCAAGGUCCCCUGUUGUAGCUGAGGGGGACCCCAGCCUCUGGAAACCAGUUUCCUCUCCCCCCUGCCAGUGCUGGGAGCCAAGUCAGUUGACUUCAUCUUGGUUGGUUGGGGUGCCGACCGGACCUGAGUGAUCAGUGUAGACGGUGUCGGUGUGAAAGGAAAAACGAAUCCGCAAGAAUGUGCUUCGUGUUUUUGAAAACCUGCUCUUUUCUCUUGAGGUGCUGGGAGCCUCAGUCUUCUCUGGAUUUCGGUUUAUAAAUAACUUGGGGCGGGGCACGAUGAUUCUGUUUAGCACCAAAGCAAGUCCACUCAAAAAAGGAGGAGGAGGAGAAGAAGUUUCCCUUAUGGAGAAGAGAUUCUGGUUUCAUUCUGUAUUUUGUUUUUGUCUUGCAAACCGUAAAAAUAGUCUCUGCCUCUUCUCUGAAUUGGGGAAAAAGUCACUUGUGACUGUCCCCCUGCCCCUCCCCUAGGUGGUUAGGAAAGAAAGGGUGUCCCCCUUCCUGUUGUGAUGCCGCCCACGAGUACCCGGCAGGGUCCUAGAAAGUCCCCACUGAGACUCAGAAGGGAGGUUCAUUUUUUUAAAAAUAUAAAUCCCUUACCUGGGUUUCUUCCUCUUUUUGUUUUGUUCCUUGAACUGGAUUCGGCUCAGCUCCCAUGGAAGCAGCCGAUGGGUGUCCAGCUGUGACACCCGUAACCACCAGCUCACUUUCCUGUCGGGGCUUUGAGAACUCAGUGAUGUUAGUGUCACCCAGACAGGUGACCACAGAGGAGAGCGGUGAUUAAAACGAGCUGUGGAGCCACAGACCCUGAAUUUACCAGACCACAAGGCUUUUCUAGAAGUUUACCCUUUUAGAAAAACACCACCGCCACCAGACACGUGGCGAAGGGUGGAAGCCCCCAUGUGUUCGCCAAGCGCCGGGUUCUGGGCGUCACUGUCUCGAGCCCUGGUGGCUCUCACAUCCUGCCGUCUUAGGCGGGUGGUCCACGGGGUUGACAAGAGUCAAGCAGGUGUUCAUGGCUCUCCUUUCCCCCCGCUCUGUCAGGUUUCUGAAUCACAAAAAUGCUGUGAAAGGAAAUGUUAGAAUGAGGAUCUGCAUGAGAGAGUGCGACUCUGCCCACGGCUCUUUAACUCUCACACAGUUCUGCCCACAGCCAGGCAGGGCCGCUGGUGGGGGACGUGAGAUCCAGAGAGUUCAUCGUCUCUGAGAGCGAGGCAGCUUUGAUCUCCAAAUUGUUAUUGCUUUCACUAUUAUUGUACCGGAACUGCCUUUUCUUUUGGGGGGAGGCGGUAUCACAGAGGGUUCCCCCCUUUACUUGUUGUAAGCUAGUGCCAGUGGAGGAAAGGCUGGCCUCUCUGGGCUCAGAGUCUGCUUCGUGGCCAGGCCCCUGCCUUAGGCUUUCUGUGUCUGAAUGGUUCCUGGACACGUGUCUCUGUCCACUAGUCCCAUGGAUCACUCUUCCUUAGGUCCCUGCAGUCCACAGGCUGCCUUGGAUCCUCAACAGGGCCGACACUACCUACGGCCUGCGCCCUCAGCCACAUAGCCAGAUGUUGAAGUGUGUGGACAGGGACCAUUGAAGGAGGAGGGAUGCACGAAUUUAGAAGCCCAUCUUGUUGGGUGGGCCCAGUCGAAAAUAUGCUGGACCCAGGUCUAACCUAAAGUGAUCAUCAGUUCUUGUAGCAUUAAUGACAUGUUUUUAAAAAAACAUUGGAUGUGUGUCGUACAAGGUCUUUGGGGGACUCCGCGGUUUGCUCUGAUGGGGUCUCCCCCUGGCCGUUUGUUUGCCGGACCCUGAACUCACACUGGGCCUCCACCACUUCCCCGCUGUCUCAGGAGCAAGGCGUGGGCUCCGUUGUGGGAACUGGUUUGGGAGCCCCGUGGUCCUGAGUAGAGCCCAGCGGGCAGCCUGGGGCUGGCCAUGGCUUGUGAGUCUCUUGAAGAUUGUUCCGGAAUGUCUUGCCCAGCUGCUCCGGCGCUGUCUGUUCCCAUUGCAGGUCCUUAACAUUGACCCACUUGGGAAGGUGUCCCACCCCCAGUUCCAGGUGGAGAUGGUGACAAAUCUGUCCUCAUUUGGAGACGGGAGCCACCAACGGUCCUUCUCCAAACAGCAACCUGCAAUGGGGCUGUGGCCAGAAGGCUCCAGCAGCUGCCUCCGGCUUUGGGCCAGGCACUCCCAGGCGUCCCCUAAAAGUCCUUCCAGCCUCUGUCCCUAGUGUGGCUGGGCGCCAGCUCCAGGGAGUUCCCAUGGCAACCUUGAUGAUCGUUAAGGAACAUUGUCAGUUUUCUGAACAUGUGCUCAGAUGGAGAUCUGCUUUGGAAGGGAAGGACUGGGACAGCGAGAGACCUCGCUGGAGGAGCCCACGCCUGCUGACCACGAUACCUCAGCUCUGCAUCGCUUUUGGAGAGAAAUAGAUCAUCGUUUUAAGGGACUUCCCUCUUAAUUACCUGAAAACCAAUACCAAAGGCUGAUGUCAGUGUAUUUUGAUUUUUCAACGCUUUUUUCCUUUUAUCGCUAUUUUGCACUUAAAGUGAACAUGGUAAAUGUUUGAAAUAAAUAAUUUCUAAAAAAAGACACUUGAGAUGUCAUUUUGCUGCACG
RNAcentral lists this long non-coding RNA (9122 nucleotides) under Marmota monax (woodchuck). The record is from RNAcentral. Lineage: Eukaryota; Metazoa; Chordata; Mammalia; Rodentia; Sciuridae.